Molecule: ribosomal RNA, 661 nt
Filed under: Enterococcus mundtii
Lineage: Bacteria; Bacillati; Bacillota; Bacilli; Lactobacillales; Enterococcaceae
Description: bacterial SSU rRNA
Rfam family: Bacterial small subunit ribosomal RNA
Source: RNAcentral
CAAGACUUUCUUUUUCCACCGGGAGCUUGCUCCACCGGGAAAGAGGAGUGGCGAACGGGUGAGUAACACGUGGGUAACCUGCCCAUCAGAAGGGGAUAACACUUGGAAACAGGUGCUAAUACCGUAUAACAAUCGAAACCGCAUGGUUUCGUUUUGAAAGGCGCUUUACGGUGCCGCUGAUGGAUGGACCCGCGGUGCAUUAGCUAGUUGGUGAGGUAACGGCUCACCAAGGCCACGAUGCAUAGCCGACCUGAGAGGGUGAUCGGCCACAUUGGGACUGAGACACGGCCCAAACUCCUACGGGAGGCAGCAGUAGGGAAUCUUCGGCAAUGGACGAAAGUCUGACCGAGCAACGCCGCGUGAGUGAAGAAGGUUUUCGGAUCGUAAAACUCUGUUGUUAGAGAAGAACAAGGGUGAGAGUAACUGUUCACCCCUUGACGGUAUCUAACCAGAAAGCCACGGCUAACUACGUGCCAGCAGCCGCGGUAAUACGUAGGUGGCAAGCGUUGUCCGGAUUUAUUGGGCGUAAAGCGAGCGCAGGCGGUUUCUUAAGUCUGAUGUGAAAGCCCCCGGCUCAACCGGGGAGGGUCAUUGGAAACUGGGAGACUUGAGUGCAGAAGAGGAGAGUGGAAUUCCAUGUGUAGCGGUGAAAUGCGUACAU